UAACGCGUGGGUAACCUGCCUCAUACAGGGGGAUAGCAGCUGGAAACGGCUGAUAAAACCGCAUAAGCGCACAGCAUCGCAUGAUGCAGUGUGAAAAACUCCGGUGGUAUGAGAUGGACCCGCGUCUGAUUAGCUUGUUGGUGGGGUAACGGCCCACCAAGGCGACGAUCAGUAGCCGGCCUGAGAGGGUGACCGGCCACAUUGGGACUGAGACACGGCCCAA
RNAcentral lists this ribosomal RNA (223 nucleotides) under uncultured bacterium. RNAcentral describes it as "partial 16S ribosomal RNA". It matches the Rfam family "Bacterial small subunit ribosomal RNA", at positions 111 to 334 of the family's 1533-position model. The record is from RNAcentral.